This 64-nucleotide transfer RNA is filed under the name Opiliones sp. MT-2014. RNAcentral's name for it is "tRNA-Gln". Lineage: Eukaryota; Metazoa; Arthropoda; Arachnida; Opiliones. The record is from RNAcentral.
UAAAUUUCAGUGUUUGGCACAGUGUCCUUUGAAGGCAUUAGAGAUAGGUGUUUAUCAAGUUUAA